Molecule: ribosomal RNA, 253 nt
Filed under: uncultured bacterium
Lineage: Bacteria
Description: partial 16S ribosomal RNA
Rfam family: Bacterial small subunit ribosomal RNA
Source: RNAcentral
GACAGAGGGUGCAAACGUUGUUCGGAAUUACUGGGCGUAAAGCGCAUGUAGGCGGCCAAGCAGGUCGGAUGUGAAAUCCCUGGGCUCAACCCAGGAACUGCGUCCAAGACUGGGAGGCUUGAAUCCGGGAGAGGGAUGCGGAAUUCCAGGUGUAGCGGUGAAAUGCGUAGAUAUCUGGAGGAACACCGGUGGCGAAGGCGGCAUCCUGGACCGGUAUUGACACUGAGGCGCGAAAGCCAGGGGAGCAAACGGG